UACGUAGGGUGAGAGCGUUGUCCGGAAUUACUGGGCGUAAAGAGCUCGUAGGUGGUUUGUCGCGUUGUUCGUGAAAACUCACAGCUCAACUGUGGGCGUGCGGGCGAUACGGGCAGACUGGAGUACUGCAGGGGAGACUGGAAUUCCUGGUGUAGCGGUGAAAUGCGCAGAUAUCAGGAGGAACACCGGUGGCGAAGGCGGUUCUCUGGGCAUGUCCUGACGCUGAGGAGCGAAAGUGUGGGGAGCGAACAGG
Molecule: ribosomal RNA, 253 nt
Filed under: uncultured bacterium
Lineage: Bacteria
Description: partial 16S ribosomal RNA
Rfam family: Bacterial small subunit ribosomal RNA
Source: RNAcentral